CUAACAAGGAUUCCCCUAGUAACGGCGAGUGAAGCGGGAAGAGCUCAAAUUUGAAAUCUGGCAGUCUUCGAUUGUCCGAGUUGUAAUCUAUAGAGGCGUUUUCCGUGCCGGACCGUGUCCAAGUCUCCUGGAAAGGAGUAUCAAAGAGGGUGAUAAUCCCGUACUUAACACGACCACCGGUGCUCUGUGAUACGUCUUCUACGAGUCGAGUUGUUUGGGAAUGCAGCUCAAAAUGGGUGGUGAAUUCCAUCUAAAGCUAAAUAUUGGCGAGAGACCGAUAGCGAACAAGUACCGUGAGGGAAAGAUGAAAAGCACUUUGGAAAGAGAGUUAAACAGUACGUGAAAUUGUUGAAAGGGAAACGAUUGAAGUCAGUCGUGUUCUUUGGAUUCAGCCAGUUCUGCUGGUCUACUUCCUUGGAACGGGUCAACAUCAGUUUUGUCCGGUGGAUAAAGGUAGUAGGAAUGUGACUUCUCCGGAAGUGUUAUAGCCUAUUAUCACAUACACUGGGUGAGACUGAGGACUGCAGCUCGCCUUUAUGGCCGGCCUUCGGGCACGUUCGAGCUUAGGAUGUUGACAUAAUGGCUUUAAA
This 590-nucleotide ribosomal RNA is filed under the name Trichosporon asahii. Its description in RNAcentral is "partial large subunit ribosomal RNA". It matches the Rfam family "Eukaryotic large subunit ribosomal RNA", at positions 65 to 644 of the family's 3401-position model. The record is from RNAcentral. Lineage: Eukaryota; Fungi; Basidiomycota; Tremellomycetes; Trichosporonales; Trichosporonaceae.